RNAcentral lists this ribosomal RNA (444 nucleotides) under uncultured bacterium. RNAcentral describes it as "bacterial SSU rRNA". It matches the Rfam family "Bacterial small subunit ribosomal RNA", at positions 355 to 796 of the family's 1533-position model. The record is from RNAcentral.
UAAGGAAUAUUGGUCAAUGGAGGCAACUCUGAACCAGCCAUGCCGCGUGCAGGAAGACGGACCUAUGGUUUGUAAACUGCUUUUGUAACAGAGAAAACUCCCGCUCGUGAGCGGGACUGAUAGUAUGUUAAGAAUAAGGAUCGGCUAACUUCGUGCCAGCAGCCGCGGUAAUACGAAGGAUCCAAGCGUUAUCCGGAUUCAUUGGGUUUAAAGGGUGCGUAGGCGGUUUUGUAAGUCAGUGGUGAAAUCUCCCGGCUCAACCGGGAAGCUGCCAUUGAUACUGCAGAACUAGAGUACAGAUGACGUUGGCGGAAUGUGUCAUGUAGCGGUGAAAUGCAUAGAUAUGACACAGAACACCGAUUGCGAAGGCAGCUGACGAAACUGCAACUGACGCUGAUGCACGAAAGUGCGGGGAUCAAACAGGAUUAGAUACCCCGGUAGUCC